RNAcentral lists this long non-coding RNA (2206 nucleotides) under Pan troglodytes (chimpanzee). RNAcentral describes it as "long non-coding RNA NONPTRT008073". Lineage: Eukaryota; Metazoa; Chordata; Mammalia; Primates; Hominidae. The record is from RNAcentral.
CGCUUACCCGGUAGCGGCUGUUUAGACCCAGACCGGCCCCUGCGCGAUAUGAGCACUGCUCAGGACUGCAGCUGUUGGGCACCAGCAGCCAGGUCUGCAGGCUCCGCGAAGCCUGGCCCGGACCGUAGCUUCUGCAAGCAGUCCAGGUGUAUCCUGGGGUCACUGGAGGGCAGAGCCUGCUCAGAGCGAGUACAGAAGCAGCCCAGGUCUUCCCAGCACCAGGUUCACUGGAAGUGCCAGGUGUGGGAGAGGGAGCUGGGGAGGGAAGAGGGCUAUGCUGGUUCCCGAGCUGAAUGAUGUACCCAAGAGGCCAGGUAGCUGCAGCAAGUGCUAAGAUGAGGAGGAGACGCCAUCAUGGGGUGCAAAUAUGGAGCACAAAAGGCUGGACCCUCUUCCUUUUAGGCAGCUGCUGCUGAAGACAUCAGUUUCCCCUCUCCCCUCCUCAGGCCACCACCUCCUUCAUGCUCCUCUGUGAUCACCUCUCCAAGUCCCGGUGUCAGGAGCCUUCUCUGUGGCCGCCCUGGAGAGACUUGAGCCUGGGACGUGACGUGCUGGGCUGUGAAGCUUUCUGAGAAGGGAAACCUGCGGCCUGACCUGCCUGGAUGCUGCACCCAACCUCAUCUCUUCCUGGGAGGCAGGCUCUCUUCGCUUGUUUUUACAAAUUUGAAACCAACAACUGUCAGCAUUGACACCAUCAGGCCUUUCUCUUCUAAUUUAACCUUGCAGCCAACCACACGGCUAUCUGUGCGGGAUCUCUCCCCAGGCUCAAGGACAUGAGAUGCGGAUCAGGCCCAAGAGGCUGGAUGCCAAACCUAUCCUCUCCAUGUGAAGCACCAACUUGGGGGUGUCAACUAAAAAUAUGAGACCCGUAAACUUGGAAAGGAAGACUUUAUUUCUUGAGAAGGGUUGCAAACUGCAGGCUGGGAAGUGGCACCUCCAGCUGAGACCACAAACAGUGGACUUUCUCAAACUGGGGUAUUGACCUCUGAUGAACCGCCAUCCAAACCCGUGCCUUUCAACAUAAAAAGAAGCCCUUCGAGGUGCUCACCUUCAAGCUUGCUAGAGGAGGAGGAAGAGCAGGUUGAGUUUGACAUAAUUAGAAUGGGUUGAGCCUUUCCAGCAGAGUAAGGUUCUUUCAUGGUGGACAGUGGCCACCCACUGCCAUUUCUACAAGAAGAUUUUGCUUCUUAGGCACUGAGUUCCUGGUUCUUUCACUAGAGAAAAAUGAGUAGGUUGGCAAUCCAGUACUUCCAUCUUCUGUGAAGACCUGGGCAGGCGACGGGGGCUUGGGGGCUUGGGGGCAAGGACCAAAAACAAGGCUGCCAUUUGCUGUGCCCACCACAGAGGGACAUUUACUCCACCUGAAGCACAAGUAUUUUCUCAGUGAUGUUGGCUCCUACAAAGUCAAAAGGGGUAGGCUCCCUGGCUUACGCUCCAGGAGUUUGGACUGAAAGGGACACUAAAAGUGUCUUCCUCUAAGUUUAUGAUGUUGCCCUCCUCUGGCUACAACAGUGCUCUGGCCAUAAGCAUCCCAGGUUCUCUGAAUGAUGGUGGGUAUGGAAAUGUUCCCAAACACAGGUAUGGUGGUGUCCCCUCCCACUGUACCAAUCUAUGCCCAGGGCUGGAAGGUCCGUGGUGCUCUGAACUGGAUUCAUAAACAGUAGCAUCUCCAACCACAAGUGUGGUAUCAGCCCCUCCAACAGUAGCACAUGUGCUCCCGUGGGUGCCUGAUAGAAAGUGGGAACAUGUGUUUAUUAGCCAGGUGGGCCCCAAAUGCUCUGACGAGGUGCAGAAAGAGGACUCUGUCACAGUUGUGCUGUGCCCUCCCAUUGCAACACAUGUGCUCUGAACAAGUGGAGCCCAGGUGCUUUGCAUGUAGGCGGACACAAGAGGGCCUCUAAGCACAGGUGUGGUGUUGGAACCCUCAAGGCUACCGAUGCAUUCUGGCCAGGUGUGUCCCAGGUGGUCUGACUAUAGACAGCAACAGAAUUAUCUCCAGCACCGUUAUAGAGAUACCCGUCCAACUGAUGCGCUCUAGCAGGAUGGGACCCGGGUGAUCCGAACACAAGGAGGAACAGAAGUUUAUUCUGAUACAUGCUCCUUCUUAGGAUGUUAUCUCCUUCAAUAGUAACAGGUAUGCUUUGGCUGGGUGGGCCUCAGUCACUCUGUAGCCAGGAAGGAAAGGGCUCCCAAAACAGAUUUCUGC